This 21-nucleotide microRNA is filed under the name Zea mays. RNAcentral's name for it is "microRNA miR-3108". The record is from RNAcentral. Lineage: Eukaryota; Viridiplantae; Streptophyta; Magnoliopsida; Poales; Poaceae.
UGGAACUGUUGUCCUUGGCAU